UGGGGGAUAUUGCACAAUGGGGGAAACCCUGAUGCAGCAACGCCGCGUGAGGGAAGAAGGUCUUCGGAUUGUAAACCUUUGUUCUUGGUGACGAAGAAGUGACGGUAACCAAGGAGGAAGCUCCGGCUAACUACGUGCCAGCAGCCGCGGUAAUACGUAGGGAGCGAGCGUUGUCCGGAAUUACUGGGUGUAAAGGGUGCGCAGGCGGGACUGCAAGUUGGAUGUGAAAUGCCGGGGCUUAACCCCGGAGCUGCAUCCAAAACUGUAGUUCUUGAGUGAAGUAGAGGCAGGCGGAAUUCCGAGUGUAGCGGUGAAAUGCGUAGAUAUUCGGAGGAACACCAGUGGCGAAGGCGGCCUGCUGGGCUUUAACUGACGCUGAGGCACGAAAGCAUGGGGAGCAAACA
RNAcentral lists this ribosomal RNA (404 nucleotides) under uncultured bacterium. Its description in RNAcentral is "bacterial SSU rRNA". It matches the Rfam family "Bacterial small subunit ribosomal RNA", at positions 355 to 774 of the family's 1533-position model. The record is from RNAcentral.